GUCGAACGCGAAAGUCCCGCAAGGGAUCAGUAGAGUGGCAAACGGGUGAGUAACACGUGGGUGACCUGCCUUCGAGUGGGGGAUAACGUCCCGAAAGGGUCGCUAAUACCGCAUGACAUCCUGCCGUUGAAGAGGCGGAGAUCAAAGCUAGGGAUCGCAAGACCUAGCGCUUGAAGAGGGGCCCGCGCCUGAUUAGCUAGUUGGUGGGGUAACGGCUCACCAAGGCGACGAUCAGUAUCCGGCCUGAGAGGGCGGACGGACACACUGGGACUGAGACACGGCCCAGACUCCUACGGGAGGCAGCAGUGGGGAAUUGUUCGCAAUGGGCGCAAGCCUGACGACGCAACGCCGCGUGGAGGAUGAAGAUCUUCGGGUCGUAAACUCCUUUCGAUCGAGACGAACGGCUUCCGGGUAAACAAUCCGGGAGAGUGACGGUACCGAGAGAAGAAGCCCCGGCUAACUCCGUGCCAGCAGCCGCGGUAAUACGGGGGGGGCAAGCGUUGUUCGGAAUUACUGGGCGUAAAGGGCUCGUAGGCGGCCAACUAAGUCAGACGUGAAAUCCCCAGGCUUAACUUGGGAACUGCGUCUGAUACUGGAUGGCUUGAGUUUGGGAGAGGGAUGCGGAAUUCCAGGUGUAGCGGUGAAAUGCGUAGAUAUCUGGAGGAACACCNGUGGCGAAGGCGACAUCCUGGACCAACACUGACGCUGAGGAGCGAAAGCCAGGGGAAGCAACGGGAUUAGAUACCCCGGUAGUCCUGGCCCUAA
This 765-nucleotide ribosomal RNA is filed under the name uncultured bacterium. RNAcentral describes it as "bacterial SSU rRNA". It matches the Rfam family "Bacterial small subunit ribosomal RNA", at positions 61 to 805 of the family's 1533-position model. The record is from RNAcentral.